Long non-coding RNA from Sycon ciliatum, 1761 nucleotides. RefSeq lists it as uncharacterized. The transcript is spliced from 4 exons. Lineage: Eukaryota; Metazoa; Porifera; Calcarea; Leucosolenida; Sycettidae. The record is from RefSeq and is a predicted model, not a curated record.
UUGGGCGCGCUCGAGCUGCGAAGCGCGACACACGAGCGCGACCCAAACUGUGUCACGUGUGUGUCGAAUCUGACCGUCAUUAUGAUCGCCUUCGAUUAUUUAUUUUCGUUCUACUCGACAAUUCCAAAAAUCAGUGCCAUUGGCUUUAGCUUUGCCCUUGAACUUGAAAUCUCGUGCCUUAUUCUUUCCUGGGGACUGGUGUUGGAUAUUGAACGGGCGGAGUGACCGCCGGGAUGAUGGAUGAAGGAGAUGAUGGCCUAAACUUGGCUGCGCGCAUUCUCAUUUUCGCGUGGCCUGCCACUAGUGUUUCGCAGAUUCACAAAGGGUGUCACAGGCAUAGCUGGAGGAAGAAAGGUUUUCUGGCUGAUUCCUCCGACCCCAAUCAAUCUUCAGAUCUAUGAGCAGUGGGUGUUGUCGGGUAAACAGCAGGAUAUAUUCCUGGGUGACAUGGUCGAGAAGUGUGCCCGCGUCGAAUUGAAACCAGGCUGGACUUUUGUCAUUCCUACUGGCUGGAUUCAUGCAGUUCACACUCCUGUGGAUUGGCUAGUGUUUGGUGGAAACUUUCUGCACAGUUUCAACAUAAGCGGUCAGCUUGCCGUGGCGGACAUUGAAGAAACUACUAAGGUAUAUCAUCUCGUGACGACCACAUUUAAGUCUGAAUUUGAAGUGCGAAGAUGCUUCAGCAACCACAUCGUACUUUUCCAUUGCUUUCAUUGUGCUUCUACUGUGCAUGUGUGUAACUUGUGGGGUAUAUAUGUGAUGACAUUGUAUGCUGGCGACACGGUCAGAUUUUGUCCAUGCGUGUAACGUACACCUGCCUGUUCCUCCAGGAACUUGCGAUUCCACGGCCGCGUUGUUUUCCGCGAUUUGAACAAAAGUCCGUGAUAUCCGCGAUAUUUGAAAAAUCAUCCGCGUUAUUGUAGAAAACUGUCCUUGAUACUUGAAAAGCACCGCGAUAUUUCGAAAAGCAACCGCGAUAUUCGAGUCUUUUUUCGAUGUUGUUUAGUUCUUGAAGCUCGUCAGUAGUUUACUUGUGAGAUCGACACCAGAAUGGAGAAGUUUCUGGGCAAAUCAGCGGCUGACAAGUCACAAAAUAAGGCUCGCGUCGAGUGUUGUCCGAGGAUGGAGGAAAGCUGUCUUGCAAGCUCCUGUCAGGCAGUUGAACACAGACAUCGCAGCACACGUUCUGUUUUGUCAUGCAUGAUUUAUGCUGUACGACUCGUACAUCGUACACCACUACAGUACAAGUACAAAAUCGGCCGCAAUUUCCGCAAUUUUACCACAAUAAUCCCGCAAUAUUUGACAAAAUCCGCAAUAUUCCCCGCAAUUUGUGGCAUUUUACCUCGCAACUUUUUCCGCGAUAUUUCCGAAAUGUCUCCGCAAGUUUCUGGAAGGACAGACCUGCAUGUUAUGCAUUGAAAAGGAUCUGCCACUUGCGAUCCUGGGACAAGUAUCAGGUCAGCUUUGUCUUGUGUGGGCUGUACCAGAUUGCUGUUCACUUUUCCAUCUGUUGGAUAUGUGACUUUCUGCAAGUCUCUGGUGUAUGGUGGCCACUUCUUUGCUUGUCACUUUGUAUGAUAUUACAUUCUGUAUUCGCUGCUUCCAUGGCGUGGUCUGCAAACUGCAAUCCUUGGGCAAAUGUCAUGUUUGCUAUGUUGUGCUUUGGCCGUCAGCUUGUCUACACGUUGUAGUUGAAUUAUUUUGUUCCACAACUGACUUCCUUUUAAAAGUACGGUGGCCACUGCUUUGCAUGGCAUUUUA